ACAUGCAAGUCGAACGAAGCAUUGGAAGCUUGCUUUUGAUGCUUAGUGGCGGACGGGUGAGUAACGCGUGAGCAACCUGCCUUUCAGAGGGGGAUAACGUUUGGAAACGAACGCUAAUACCGAAUAAAAUAUAAAAGCCAAUUUUAUAUUGAAAGGAGCCUUUAAAGCUUCGCGAUUAGAUGGGCCUGCGGCGUAUUAACUUGUUGGUGAGGUAACGGCUCACCAAACCUUCGAUGGAUAGGGGUUCUGAGAGGAAGGUCCCCACAUUGGAACUGAGACACGGUCCAAACUCC
This 293-nucleotide ribosomal RNA is filed under the name uncultured bacterium. RNAcentral describes it as "partial 16S ribosomal RNA". It matches the Rfam family "Bacterial small subunit ribosomal RNA", at positions 53 to 339 of the family's 1533-position model. The record is from RNAcentral.